This 1232-nucleotide ribosomal RNA is filed under the name Sphingomonas sp. RNAcentral's name for it is "bacterial SSU rRNA". It matches the Rfam family "Bacterial small subunit ribosomal RNA", at positions 31 to 1331 of the family's 1533-position model. Lineage: Bacteria; Pseudomonadati; Pseudomonadota; Alphaproteobacteria; Sphingomonadales; Sphingomonadaceae. The record is from RNAcentral.
CAAUGGGGUGGCGGCUGCUACACAUGCAGUCGAACGAAGGCUUCGGCCUUAUUGGGGCACGGGUGCGUAACGCGUGGGAAUCUACCCUUAGGUUCGGAAUAACAGUUGGAAACGACUGCUAAUACCGGAUGAUGACGUAAGUCCAAAGAUUUAUCGCCUAGGGAUGAGCCCGCGUAGGAUUAUCUAGUUGGUGUGGUAAAGGCGCACCAAGGCGACAAUCCUUAUCUGGUCUGAGAGGAUGAUCACCCACACUGGGACUGAGACACGGCCCACACUCCUACGGGAGGCAGCAGUGGGGAAUAUUGGACAAUGGGCGAAAGCCUGAUCCACCAAUGCCGCGUGAGUGAUGAAAGCCUUAUGGUUGUAAAGCUCUUUUACCCGGGAUGAUAAUGACAGUACCGGGAGAAUAAGCUCCGGCUAACUCCGUGCCACCAGCCGCGGUAAUACGGAGGGAGCUAGCGUUAUUCGGAAUUACUGGGCGUAAAGCGCACGUAGGCGGCUUUGUAAGUAAGAGGUGAAAGCCUGGGGCUCAACACCACAACUGCCUUUUAUACUGCGUCGCUUGAAUCCAGGAGAGGUGAGUGGAAUUCCGAGUGUAUAGGUGAAAUUCUUAGAUAUUCGGAAAAACACCACUGGCGAAGGCGGCUCACUGGACUGGUAUUGACGCUGAGGUGCGAAAGCGUGUGGAGCAAACAGGAUUAUAUACCCUGGUAGUCCACGCCGUAAACGAUGAUAACUAUCUGUCGGGGCUCUUAUAGCUUCUGUGGCGCAGCUAACGCAUUAAGUUAUCCGCCUGGGGAGUACGGCCGCAAGGUUAAAACUCACAUGAAUUGUCGGGGGCCUGCACAAGCGGUGGAGCAUGUGGUUUAUUUCUAAGCAACGCGCACAACCUUACCAGCGUUUGACAUGUCCGGACGAUAUCUGGAGACAGAUCUCUUCCCUUCUGGGACUGUAACACACGUGCUGCAUGGCUGUCGUCAGCUCGUGUCGUGAGAUGAUUGUGUUAAGUCCCGCACGAGCGCAACCCUCGCCUUUAGUUAUCCAUCAUUCAGUGGGACUCUAAGGAACCGCCGGUGAUAGCCGGAGAAAGUGGGAUGACGUCAGUCCUCAUGGCCCUACGCGCUGUGCUACACACUGCUACAAUGGCGGGGUACGUGGCACAUCUCGCAGGGUGUGUCUUAUUCAACGCCUCUCAUUCGAAUGUUCCUGGAAUCCUGGACCUGAAGGCCGGA